RNAcentral lists this ribosomal RNA (505 nucleotides) under uncultured Staphylococcus sp. RNAcentral's name for it is "bacterial SSU rRNA". It matches the Rfam family "Bacterial small subunit ribosomal RNA", at positions 66 to 555 of the family's 1533-position model. The record is from RNAcentral. Lineage: Bacteria; Bacillati; Bacillota; Bacilli; Caryophanales; Staphylococcaceae.
GCGAGGGACGAGAAGCUUGCUUCUCUGAUGGUAGCGGCGGAGGGUGAGUAACACGGGGAUAACCUACCUAUAACACUGGGAGAACUUCGGGAAACCGGAGCUAACACCGGAUAAUAUUUUGAACCGCAUGGUUCAAAAGUGAGAGACGGUCUAGCUGUCAGUUAUAGAUGGAUCCGCGCUGCAUUAUCUAGUUGGUAAGGUAACGGCUUACCAAGGCAACGAUGCAUAGCCGACCUGAGAGGGUGAUCGGCCACACUGGAACUGAGACACGGUCCAGAUUCCUACGGGAGGCAGCAGUAGGGAAUCUUCCGCAAUGGGCGAAAGCCUGACGGAGCAACGCCGCGUGAGUGAUGAAGGUCUUCGGAUCGUAAAACUCUGUUAUUAGGGAAGAACAUAUGUGUAAGUAACUGUGCACAUCUUGACGGUACCUAAUCAGAAAGCCACGGCUAACUACGUGCCAGCAGCCGCGGUAAUACGUAGGUGGCAAGCGUUAUCCGGAAUUAUU